Gadus morhua (Atlantic cod) is the source of this 5209-nucleotide long non-coding RNA. NCBI's taxonomy places the organism in Eukaryota, Metazoa, Chordata, Actinopteri, Gadiformes, Gadidae. The record is from Ensembl.
CAUCUGGCAUAUUACUGGAAAUGGCCAAAAAAGAAUCGGCACGUAAACCAGAAGGUUAGCAUAAUUUAGCCGCGUUGCCGACAGAAAAUCUAUAGUCAUUUGGGGUUUUGGCGGUGCCAAGCAGGCUCGCAUUGAUUAACGAUGUGUGUGUGUGUGUGUGUGUGUGUGUGUGUGUGUGUGUGUGUGUGUGUGUGUGUGUGUGUGUGUGUGUGUGUGUGUGUGUGUGUGUGUGUGUGUGUGUGUGUGUGUGUCUGUGUCUGUGUGCAUGUGUGUGUGUGUGUGUGUGUGUGUGUGUGUGUGUGGUUUUGGUAGAUUUACGGUAGACUCAGCGAUAGGGCAAAAAGAGAGAGAGGGCGAGAGACAUAGGAAGGCAGAGCAAAGAGAGAGAGGCUGAUUGAAAUGAGACCUUGAACUUACAGACAGCAGAGCAACAAACGGAGGAAAUGAACCGCAUGACAUGACAAACACACGGGGGGAGAGCACGAUAAGAAAACCAACGAAAACAACCUGGAAAGGGUUAAGUGACCAACAGACUGGCACAGCACCGAGACAUGGCAUGGCACAGUCUAAAUAGGGGGGCGGGAUAGCUCCAGAGAGAGGGCGAGAGAGAGCGCCAGAGAGAGGGCGAGAGAGGGCGAGAGAGAGAGGGCGAGAGAGGGCAAGAGAGAGCGCCAGAGCGAGGGCGAGAGAGAGCGCCAGAGAGAGGGCGAGAGUGGGCAAGAGAGAGCGCCAGAGCGAGGGCGAGAGAGGGCAAGAGAGAGCGCCAGAGCGAGGGCGAGAGAGGGCGAGAGAGAGCGCCAGAGCGAGGGCGAGAGAGAGCGCCAGAGAGAGGGCGAGAGAGGGCAAGAGAGAGCACGAGGGCGAGGGCGAGAGAGAGCGCCAGAGAGAGGGCGAGAGAGGGCAAGAGAGAGCGCCAGAGCGAGGGCGAGAGAGGGCGAGAGAGAGAGGGCGAGAGUGGGCAAGAGAGAGCGCCAGAGAGGGGGCGAGAGAGGGCAAGAGAGAGCGCCAGAGAGGGGGCGAGAGAGGGCAAGAGAGAGCGCCAGAGAGGGGGCAAGAGAGGGCAAGAGAGAGCGCCAGAGAGGGGGCGAGAGAGGGCGAGAGAGAGCGCCAGAGCGAGGACGAGAGAGGGCGAGAGAGAGAGCGAGCGAGCCGGAGCAUCAUGAAGGGUUACAGAAGACUGAACACACAAACGGCAAACCCACACAUUCAUCAUCAAAAAAUGCACACACACUAUAUGCUCACGCACGCACACACACAUAUUCGCCAACCAAACACACAUACACGGUCAGAAACAGACACACACAGACACACAGAGGUGUGCGAGCUUGGAGGCAGUAUCUUCCCAUCAGGGCUCCCUGGAGUGAUGUGGCCCAGACAUCCAGCAGGAGCCAUCGCUGCCAUCAGCCCCUCAUCCCGUUGUCACGGGGACACGCUACCUGUCACGUCACCUGGUCUUUUUAUUUCAUGGAAUUGACUUUUCAUCUCCGCUUGAGUCCAACUCUUCCUGACUCCCGUACAUUACGUCGUGGGUUCGAUGUCUAGCCAUCAGGCAGGCUGCCCAGAUCCAAUGGAAAGAUUUAUAAAAGCUUUCAUCAGAGGGAUCGGCCUGGCCCGCAACCAGGGUUGGUUACACGCAGACUGGAGUUUACUAGUUACUAGUCUUACUUUGUUGCUUUUAUAUUGGUUUUACAUAUAUUGAGUUUCAUAUGCUCUGUGAAGCCAAGACAAAUGUAUUUUUUGUGCAAAUACAAAUGUUGUUCUUCCUUUCUUUCGAUACAUCUGUCUUUAAUAUAGCUUUAAUGAAAAUAAUGUGCAAAUAUAUCCCAGCCCAUAUAUCCCAUAAUGUGCAAAUAUAGAUAUAUAUAUAUAUAUAUAUAUAUAUAUAUAUAUAUAUAUAUCUAUAUCUAUAUAUAUAUAUAUAUAUAUAUAUAUAUAUCUAUAUCUAUAUCUAUAUCUAUAUCUAUAUAUAUAUAUAUAUAUAUAUAUAUAUACGUAUAUAUAUAUAUAUACGUAUAUAUCCCAGCCACAAAGAGUUAAUCCCUACCCAGAUAAUCAUUGUGUGACCAGACAAGGGAAAAUCAAUGUCUCUCAGCAGGCGUUGGAGGCCGUGUCCAGAACCAGAGAAAUCAGAGCCGGUCCUCGCUGAGGGUCUCAGUACACUUCAUUACAGGACAAACUCGGGCUCUGAAUGGCGCCCAGACGAUGAAGGUCGAUGAGACGCCCUCGUGUUGUGGGUGGUGCGCAUGCCCCACCUAGGCAAACCUUCUCCUCCUCCUUCCUCUCUUCCUCCCUUCCUCCCAGAGAGACCGUCUUUACACUGUCAGCCAUUCCGCGCACAUGGAGUACUUCAAUCACCAAAAUUGUUCAUGUUUAUCGAAGCGAAAUGAAGUUUUGAUAAAUAAUGACAUGUCUGUUUAUGUGGAAGACGCAAAUGUGGGAGUCUAGUUAUUCUAGGCCGAUAAAUAAAUGUUACCAUUGUACUAAAGUAGGUGUAAAGUUUGAUAUUUGCUCAGCGCAUUUCUUUAUGUGAACGCCACAUCAAUCUCCUUAUGUCGUCAAACCUUAUUUUUCCCCGUAAAACAUUUAACUUCACCACUGUCCUUGUACAAUAAAUAAUAAAAAUAUUUUAAUGCACAAACGCAUAUUUCCGAAGUUUGCCCAUUUACAUGAGAGUUCCCAAGUUCCAACAUGGCGUGACACGCCCUAACGCAGUGUACGGCCAACCUCUGUCUUCUUUCCCAGCAUGCUCUCUGGCUGAUUAUACGAGCGUCCUAUAGCCCAUUACCCUGCUCCUCCCUUCCUCCCCCACCCUACCUGGAUGGUCAUCCUUCGCUAGCUAGCUAGUCCUCCCCUCCCUGGUGCUGGCUGCCGCUAGCCGCCAGGCUACGCUAGUUGUUAACCCAACAGUAGCAAACACGCGGUGAAGCCGCGCGCUUUACGACGCUACUCUGCGUUAGCGAGCCAGUGCUAGCCCGCGGCUACGCCGUGGCGCAAAGGGGAGUGAUAUAAACGCAAAGGGCCGAUAGUAAAUGUGUGACAUAAAGUCUUUAUGCUGAAAUGGGGAGAUAUGCAUCAUUAGUUAAUAAGGCUGCGGCAUCAGUUGUGGAGAGGGGCCGGUAAAAGAAAUGCUGCGGGGUAUUACAGUCGUGUUGUAAACUUUAUUCCGCGUAUAAAGAAUAACUCGGUGUUGAGCUGUCAAACAUACUGGGAGAUUAAAUCCCAUACUGGAAAAUUGUGGCUUCCUGUCAGUCGUGUCGCCUUAGUAUAUAUAUAUAUAUAUAUAUAUAUAUAUAUAUAUAUAUACACAGUAUAAUGGGUUUGUGGUGAUUGAAAGAAAACUUCUUCACAUUUGUACAUUCUACACACACACACACACACACACACACACACACACACACACACACACACACACACACACACACACACACACACACACACACACACACACACAGGCACAGUCCACGCACCACACUAACCCAAACACCCUAUGAACAUUACAUACACAUUUUUACAUUUGAAAGCUUUCCUUUUUGAUCAAGCAUAAGCUAGUUCACAAUAGCAUGCAGAAUGAGAGAGUGCCUCCCUCCAUCACUCAAUCACACACACAACCACGCACAGUCACACACACACACACACACACACACACACACACUUCGGCCCGGCCUAAGCUGUUAGUUAGAGCUCAGACCGUCCAUUAGCUGAGUUCUUUUCCUGUUUCCGACAUAAUGAAGCAGAACGCUAGAAGAAGGGAGAGAGAGAGUGCGAGCCUGCUGACCUGAUUAAUUAGCGAGAGGCGGGAGAGAGAGGAUGCAAGAGUGUGAGAGAGAGAGAAAAGAGUGAGCGAGAGGCAGCGAGAGAGAGAAAGAGAGGGGGUAGGUAUGAUAAAGACAGUGAUAAAGAUUGAUAAAGUGGAGAACGAAGAAAAAUCAGUAUGAGAGAGGAGAGAUGGAGGACAAAAUGACCUGAGAGAUGAAAGAAAGAGGGAUGAGCUGCUGGGUGUAAUAAAUGUGAUGUCAGCUUAUAAACGACUCGGCGCGAGGGCGUGGGCAAGAGGACGGGCUUGUAGCGCACGGCGUCAACACAUCCCGAUAAAACAGUGGAUGAUUCCAACCUCAAAAAACAACGAUCGUUCUAACCUUUCGAUUUUCCCUCUUCCUCCACCGUCUCCUUCUCUUAACCAACACCUCUUUGUCUCUUCGCUACGUCAGUAUUUUACUCUUUGAAAGACUUUUAAAGGCCUUUUAAAAAGCUGGUGGUAUAUAGCAGCCAUGGAAACCUUGGCUGGGCUCUCUCCAUCGCAGCAGGAGAUGAUUAAAGUUACGGUCCAGUUAACAGCUAGCUGGGACCCUCCAGCUCUCUGGCCCUCAGGUACACACAAACACACACACAUCCACGCCGCCUCCCACACACGCAUGCAAGCACACACAGCCACACACACCCUCUCCCUCUCUCUCUGACACACCCUCAAUCCCAAACACACACACACACACACGCACAAACACACACACACCCUCUCUAUCGCUCUCUCACACACAUAUACACACACACACACACACACACCCUCUCUAUCGCUCUCUCACACACGUAUACACACACACACACACACAAACACACACACACACACCCAAACACCCUAAUAAGGCCGCUCACCUGUGCAGGAGCAUGCAGAACGCAUUGGAGGAGCUGGGUUCUAGCUAAAGCCUGAGCACGCUCUGAGAGGCAGCAGCACGGCAGGACAGCCAGCUCGGCCGGCGGGCAGGCAGACAGAAAGACAGCCAGCAUGGGCAUUCAUUAAAAACCCCAGCACCGUGCAUAGGGACUAACAGGGCCAUAAAAGCAAUUAAUCUAGCCAUAAACAAGCCACUCGCCUGUCCCACACUCCCCUGCACAGAAACGACGGUGGCAGUGGGGAGGGAGGGGGGGAGGGGAGGAGGGGGGAGACAGGGGGAGGCUUGCUUUUCGUUUCCUCUUCUCUGGGCUUUGUAUUUCUUCUGAUUUCUCGCUGUUUCCUCCCUCUGUCUCGGGGCCUCUCAGGUACACCCCACAGAUGUUACCUUCCCAUGAAGAGUGAACAAGAGUCCUCUAAUGAUCAAGCACACAUGGAUGCAGAUGUGUGUGUGCGUGUGUGUGUAUGUGUGUGUGUGUAUGUGUGUGCGCGUUUGCGUGUGCGAGAGCUGCAGCCUCCGACCCAACAUGGCGGACGGUGAGG